GAUGAACGCUAGCUACAGGCUUAACACAUGCAAGUCGAGGGGCAGCAGGGAUUUAGCUUGCUAAAUUCGCUGGCGACCGGCGCACGGGUGCGUAACGCGUAUCCAACUUUCCCGUUACUCAGGGAUAGCCUUCCGAAAGGGGAGAUUAAUACCCUGAUGGUGUUUGAAGUUCGCAUGUUCUUCAAACUAAGAUUUAUCGGUAACGGAUAGGGAUGCGUGACAUUAGAUAGUAGGCGGGGUAACGGCCCACCUAGUCUACGAUGUCUAGGGGUUCUGAGAGGAAGGUCCCCCACACUGGAACUGAGACACGGUCCAGACUCCUACGGGAGGCAGCAGUGAGGAAUAUUGGUCAAUGGUCGGAAGACUGAACCAGCCAAGUAGCGUGAAGGAUGAAGGUUCUAUGGAUUGUAAACUUCUUUUAUAUAGGAAUAAAACCUCCCACGUGUGGGAGCUUGUAUGUACUAUAUGAAUAAGCAUCGGCUAACUCCGUGCCAGCAGCCGCGGU
This 505-nucleotide ribosomal RNA is filed under the name uncultured bacterium. RNAcentral describes it as "bacterial SSU rRNA". It matches the Rfam family "Bacterial small subunit ribosomal RNA", at positions 28 to 521 of the family's 1533-position model. The record is from RNAcentral.